GACGAACGCUGGCGGCGUGCCUAAUACAUGCAAGUCGAGCGAAUGGAAGGGAGCUUGCUCCCUGAAGUUAGCGGCGGACGGGUGAGUAACACGUGGGCAACCUGCCUGUAAGACUGGGAUAACUUCGGGAAACCGGAGCUAAUACCGGAUACGUACUUUUCUCACAUGAGGAAAGAUGGAAAGAUGGUUUCGGCUAUCACUUACAGAUGGGCCCGCGGCGCAUUAGCUAGUUGGUGGGGUAAUGGCCCACCAAGGCGACGAUGCGUAGCCGACCUGAGAGGGUAAUCGGCAACACUGGGACUGAGCCACGGCCCAGACUCCUACGGGAGGCAGCAGUAGGGAAUCUUCCGCAAUGGACGAAAGUCUGACGGAGCAACGCCGCGUGAGCGAAGAAGGACUUCGGGUCGUAAAGCUCUGUUGUCAGGGAAGAACAAGUGCCAGAGUAACUGCUGGCACCUUGACGGUACCUGACCAGAAAGCCACGGCUAACUACGUGCCAGCCGCCGCCGUAA
This 512-nucleotide ribosomal RNA is filed under the name uncultured bacterium. RNAcentral describes it as "partial 16S ribosomal RNA". It matches the Rfam family "Bacterial small subunit ribosomal RNA", at positions 28 to 523 of the family's 1533-position model. The record is from RNAcentral.